Molecule: transfer RNA, 77 nt
Filed under: Clostridiales bacterium PH28_bin88
Lineage: Bacteria; Bacillati; Bacillota; Clostridia; Eubacteriales
Description: tRNA-His
Rfam family: tRNA
About the family: Transfer RNA (tRNA) molecules are approximately 80 nucleotides in length. Their secondary structure includes four short double-helical elements and three loops (D, anti-codon, and T loops).
Source: RNAcentral
GUGGGUGUAGCUCAGGCGGCUAGAGCAUCAGAUUGUGGCUCUGAGGGUCGUGGGUUCAAGUCCCAUCACCCACCCCA